RNAcentral lists this ribosomal RNA (735 nucleotides) under uncultured bacterium. RNAcentral describes it as "bacterial SSU rRNA". It matches the Rfam family "Bacterial small subunit ribosomal RNA", at positions 1 to 716 of the family's 1533-position model. The record is from RNAcentral.
CCCUUAGAGUUUGAUCCUGGCUCAGGACGAACGCUGGCGGCGUGCCUAACACAUGCAAGUCGAACGAGUCCAGGUCUUCGGACCUGAGGCGAGUGGCGGACGGGUGAGUAACACGUGAGCAAUCUAUCCUGUUGCGGGGGACAACGAGGGGAAACCUUCGCUAAUACCGCAUGGUCGAGAACCUCGAUGGGGUUUUCGGGAAACGUGGCCUCUUAGCAAUGCUACGGCGAUGGGAGGAGCUCGCGGGCUAUCAGCUUGUUGGUGAGGUCAUGGCUCACCAAGGCGACAACGGCUACGGGGUCUGAGAGGACGACCCCGCACACUGGAACUGAGACACGGUCCAGACUCCUACGGGAGGCAGCAGUGGGGAAUAUUGGGCAAUGGCCGAAAGGCUGACCCAGCGACGCCGCGUGUGGGAGGAAGCCCUUCGGGGUGUAAACCACUGUCAGGAGGGACGAAAGAGUCGGGGGUGAAUAAUCCUCGGCAGUGACGGUACCUCCAAAGGAAGCACCGGCUAACUCUGUGCCAGCAGCCGCGGUAAUACAGAGGGUGCGAGCGUUGUUCGGAAUUACUGGGCGUAAAGCGCGCGCAGGCGGGUCCUGUAAGUCGGAAGUGAAAUUUCGGAGCUCAACUCCGAAGCUGCUUCUGAUACUGCGGAUCUGGAGAUCGGUAGAGGUCGGUGGAAUUACAGGUGUAGCGGUGGAAUGCGUAGAUAUCUGUAAGAACACCCGUGGC